RNAcentral lists this ribosomal RNA (468 nucleotides) under uncultured bacterium. RNAcentral describes it as "partial 16S ribosomal RNA". It matches the Rfam family "Bacterial small subunit ribosomal RNA", at positions 28 to 507 of the family's 1533-position model. The record is from RNAcentral.
GACGAACGCUGGCGGCGUGCUUAACACAUGCAAGUCGAACGGAAAGGCCCUGCUUUUGUGGGGUCCUCGAGUGGCGAACGGGUGAGUAGCACGUGAGUAACCUGCACUUCACUUUGAGAUAACCUCAGGAAACUGGGGCUAAUCCGGGAUAGGAGCUCCUGCUGCAUGGUGGGGGUUGGAAAGUUUCGGCGGUUGGGGAGGUACUCGCGGCUUAUCAGCUUGUUGGUGGGGUAGUGGCUUACCAAGGCUUUGACGGGUAGCCGGCCUGGGAGGGUGACAGGACACGUUGGACUGGAGAUGAGACACAGCCCCGUCUGGGACGCGACGGAGGAGAGUAGUGCACAGUGGGCGGAAGGCAGAUGUGACAACGCCGCGCGCGGGAUGAGAGGAAGCGGGUUGUAUAGCGAAUUUGCCUGAGACGAGGCGUGAGUGACGGUAACGGGUGAAGAAGCACCGGCUAACUACGUG